CUACGGGAGGCUGCAGUGGGGAAUAUUGUACAAUGGGGGAAACCCUGAUCCAGCAAUGCCGCGUGUGUGAAGAAGGCCUGCGGGUUGUAAAGCACUUUCGGUUGGGAGGACUGCUUCUAGCACUAAUAUUGUUGGAAGUUGACGUUACCUUCAGAAGAAGCACCGGCUAACUCCGUGCCAGCAGCCGCGGAAUACGGAGGGUGCAAGCGUUAAGCGGAAUUACUGGGCGGAAAGCGCGCGUAGGCGGCUAGAUCAGUCGGGUGUGAAAGCCCCGGGCUUAACCUGGGAACUGCAUCCGAUACUGUCUAGCUUGAGUACAGGAGAGGAGAGUGGAAUUCCACAUGUAGCGGUGAAAUGCGUAGAUAUGUGGAGGAACACCAAUGGCGAAGGCAGCUCUCUGGCCUGAUACUGACGCUGAGGUGCGAAAGCGUGGGGAGCAAACAGGAUUAGAUACCCUCGUAGUC
RNAcentral lists this ribosomal RNA (464 nucleotides) under uncultured bacterium. RNAcentral's name for it is "partial 16S ribosomal RNA". It matches the Rfam family "Bacterial small subunit ribosomal RNA", at positions 339 to 795 of the family's 1533-position model. The record is from RNAcentral.